CCUACGGGCUGCAGCAGUGGGGAAUAUUGCACAAUGGGCGCAAGCCUGAUGCAGCCAUGCCGCGUGUAUGAAGAAGGCCUUCGGGUUGUAAAGUACUUUCAGCGAGGAGGAAGGCGUUAAGGUUAAUAACCAUAGCGAUUGACGUUACUCGCAGAAGAAGCACCGGCUAACUCCGUGCCAGCAGCCGCGGUAAUACGGAGGGUGCAAGCGUUAGUCGGAAUUACUGGGCGUAAAGCGCACGCAGGCGGUCUGUUAAGUCAGAUGUGAAAUCCCCGGGCUCAACCUGGGAACUGCAUUUGAAACUGGCAGGCUUGAGUCUUGUAGAGGGGGGUAGAAUUCCAGGUGUAGCGGUGAAGUGCGUAGAGAUCCGGAGGAAUACCGGUGGCGAAGGCGGCCCCCUGGACAAAUACUGACGCUCAGGUGCGAAAGCGUGGGGAGCAAACAGGAUUAGAUACCCCGGUAGUC
RNAcentral lists this ribosomal RNA (465 nucleotides) under uncultured bacterium. RNAcentral's name for it is "bacterial SSU rRNA". It matches the Rfam family "Bacterial small subunit ribosomal RNA", at positions 338 to 795 of the family's 1533-position model. The record is from RNAcentral.